AUUGAACGCUGGCGGCAUGCCUUACACAUGCAAGUCGAACGGCAGCAUGGAGAGCUUGCUCUCUGAUGGCGAGUGGCGAACGGGUGAGUAAUGCAUCAGAACGUACCGUGUAAUGGGGGAUAACGUAGCGAAAGUUACGCUAAUACCGCAUACGACAUGAGGGUGAAAGCAGGGGAUCGCAAGACCUUGCGCUAUACGAGCGGCCGAUGUAAGAUUAGCUAGUUGGUGAGGUAAAGGCGCACCAAGGCGACGAUCUGUAGCGGGUCUGAGAGGAGGAUCCGCCACAAUGGGACUGAGACACGGCCCAGACUCCUACGGGAGGCAGCAGUGGGGAAUUUUGGACAAGGGGGGCAACCCUGAUCCAGCCAUGCCGCGUGAGUGAAGAAGGCCUUCGGGUUGUAAAGCUCUUUCGGCCGGGAAGAAAUCGCACAGGCUAAUACUCUGUGUGGAUGACGGUACCGGCAUAAGAAGCACCGGCUAACUACGUGCCAGCCGCCGCCGUAA
Molecule: ribosomal RNA, 504 nt
Filed under: uncultured bacterium
Lineage: Bacteria
Description: partial 16S ribosomal RNA
Rfam family: Bacterial small subunit ribosomal RNA
Source: RNAcentral